RNAcentral lists this transfer RNA (74 nucleotides) under Candidatus Dojkabacteria bacterium. Its description in RNAcentral is "tRNA-Ile". It matches the Rfam family "tRNA". From Rfam's summary of the family: Transfer RNA (tRNA) molecules are approximately 80 nucleotides in length. The record is from RNAcentral.
GAGCGUUUAGCUCAGUUGGUUAGAGCGCUGUCCUGAUAAGACAGAGGUCCUAGGUUCAAAUCCUAGAACGCUCA